GACGAACGCUGGCGGCGUGCUUAACACAUGCAAGUCGAACGGAAAGGCCCUUCUUGGGGGGUACGCGCGAGGCGCGCACGGGUGUGUAACGCGUGUGUAACCUGCCCUUGACUUGGGUAUAAUUUCGGGACACUGGGGAUAAUAGCAGAGAAGCUCUCGCUCCGCAGUGUGGGGGGUGAAGAGUUUGGGCGGUUGGGGAUGGACUCGCGGCUUCUCAGCUUGUUGGUGGGGUAGUGUCUUACCAAGGCUUUGACGGGUAGCGGGCCUGAGGGGGUGACCGGCCACAUUGGGACUGAGAUACGGCCCAGACUCCUACGGGAGGCAGCAGUGGGGAAUAUUGCACAAUGGGCGGAAGCCUGAUGCAGCAACGCCGCGUGCGGGAUGACGGCCUUCGGGUUGUAAACCGCUUUCGCCUGUGACGAAGCGUGAGUGACGGUAAUGGGUAAAGAAGCACCGGCUAACUACGUG
Molecule: ribosomal RNA, 468 nt
Filed under: uncultured bacterium
Lineage: Bacteria
Description: partial 16S ribosomal RNA
Rfam family: Bacterial small subunit ribosomal RNA
Source: RNAcentral